This 209-nucleotide long non-coding RNA is filed under the name Elaeis guineensis (African oil palm). RNAcentral's name for it is "long non-coding RNA (EGUI_LNC064478)". Lineage: Eukaryota; Viridiplantae; Streptophyta; Magnoliopsida; Arecales; Arecaceae. The record is from RNAcentral.
GCCAACAUCUGUGUGGAUCACCAUUAGAGGACUUCUACCUUGAAAUCUCAUGGAGAACAUCAAUAUGCCAUUUUUUUAUUUUUAUAAAAGUAUAAAAUUCUAUCUCUUUGCAUGCUUGAUUUUGCUAUGAUCGAUAUCGGCAAGGUGAUUCUAGGGUUUGGAUUUCGGCUCGAUAGUUUUAUUUGAUAAAACUAUUGAUUUAUAUAUUU